GCCAAGUGGAUCAAGGCAGUGGAUUG
This 26-nucleotide transfer RNA is filed under the name Leucaena shannonii. RNAcentral describes it as "partial tRNA-His". Lineage: Eukaryota; Viridiplantae; Streptophyta; Magnoliopsida; Fabales; Fabaceae. The record is from RNAcentral.